Phrynosoma platyrhinos (Desert horned lizard) is the source of this 73-nucleotide non-coding RNA. The record is from the annotation of a GenBank genome assembly. Lineage: Eukaryota; Metazoa; Chordata; Lepidosauria; Squamata; Phrynosomatidae.
GCCAGUAUGGCAUAGUGGUUUGAGCAUUGGACUAUGACUCUGGGCAUCAGGGUUCGAUUCCCAGUCCAUGAUA